CCUCUGGGGGCUUGUUGGAAAAUUCGAUAAGAUGUGAGGCUGCACUGAAAAUCAUUUGUGGUGCAGCUGAUUUGCUUGACUACAGGGUAGAGUCUGAGACUGCUGGCUGGGGCUGACUGAGAAUAGCCCUGAGGGCCGGGAUUGGUAAAGGUUUCUGAAAGACAGUAAGGGCACCCCAGGGAUGGUGGCCUCAGAUCCGGGGCCUGGGACUGACAGCAUUUUCCUCCUGCAGGACUGGCCUUUGAAGGACUGAAGCUCAUUGGCCUACAUGAGAGAACUGAAGAUCCAUCCCAGAGAGGAGCUGGCCUGAUGCCUGUGUAUAAACAAGGCCGGGCUAUCCUGAUAUAUCAUAAAAAACACAUCGUCUGGCACCCAGCCAACAGCCAGGGACCUGCCAGCAAGUGAGUGAGGCCACCCAAGACCAGCCCAGUCUGCCCUGACCACUUACACCUGAGCAAGCCCCAUCAAUAUCACAUGGUCUCGGCCAGUCCUGCCAAACUUCCCAGCUGAUCUGCUGACUCAUGAGCAUUAAUAAAAGUGUACAG
Myotis daubentonii (Daubenton's bat) is the source of this 545-nucleotide long non-coding RNA. RefSeq lists it as uncharacterized. The record is from RefSeq and is a predicted model, not a curated record. NCBI's taxonomy places the organism in Eukaryota, Metazoa, Chordata, Mammalia, Chiroptera, Vespertilionidae.